This 1346-nucleotide ribosomal RNA is filed under the name uncultured bacterium. RNAcentral describes it as "partial 16S ribosomal RNA". It matches the Rfam family "Bacterial small subunit ribosomal RNA", at positions 28 to 1381 of the family's 1533-position model. The record is from RNAcentral.
GACGAACGUUGGCGGCGUGCUUAACACAUGCAAGUCGAACGGAAAGGCCCUGCUUUUGUGGGGUGCUCGAGUGGCGAACGGGUGAGUAACACGUGAGUAACCUGCCCUUGACUUUGGGAUAACUUCAGGAAACUGGGGCUAAUACCGGAUAGGAGCUCCUGCUGCAUGGUGGGGGUUGGAAAGUUUCGGCGGUUGGGGAUGGACUCGCGGCUUAUCAGCUUGUUGGUGGGGUAGUGGCUUACCAAGGCUUUGACGGGUAGCCGGCCUGAGGGGGUGACCGGCCACAUUGGGACUGAGAUACGGCCCAGACUCCUACGGGAGGCAGCAGUGGGGAAUAUUGCACAAUGGGCGGAAGCCUGAUGCAGCAACGCCGCGUGCGGGAUGACGGCCUUCGGGUUGUAAACCGCUUUCGCCUGUGACGAAGCGUGAGUGACGGUAAUGGGUAAAGAAGCACCGGCUAACUACGUGCCAGCAGCCGCGGUGAUACGUAGGGUGCGAGCGUUGUCCGGAUUUAUUGGGCGUAAAGGGCUCGUAGGUGGUUGAUCGCGUCGGAAGUGUAAUCUUGGGGCUUAACCCUGAGCGUGCUUUCGAUACGGGUUGACUUGAGGAAGGUAGGGGAGAAUGGAAUUCCUGGUGGAGCGGUGGAAUGCGCAGAUAUCAGGAGGAACACCAGUGGCGAAGGCGGUUCUCUGGGCCUUUCCUGACGCUGAGGAGCGAAAGCGUGGGGAGCGAACAGGCUUAGAUACCCUGGUAGACCACGCUGUAAACGGUGGGUACUAGGUGUGGGGUCCAUUCCACGGGUUCCGUGCCGUAGCUAACGCUUUAAGUACCCCGCCUGGGGAGUACGGCCGCAAGGCUAAAACUCAAAGGAAUUGACGGGGCCCCGCACAAGCGGCGGAGCAUGCGGAUUAAUUCGAUGCAACGCGUAGAACCUUACCUGGGUUUGACAUGGAUCGGGAGUGCUCAGAGAUGGGUGUGCCUCUUUUGGGGUCGGUUCACAGGUGGUGCAUGGCUGUCGUCAGCUCGUGUCGUGAGAUGUUGGGUUAAGUCCCGCAACGAGCGCAACCCUUGUUCACUGUUGCCAGCACGUUAUGGUGGGGACUCAGUGGAGACCGCCGGGGUCAACUCGGAGGAAGGUGGGGAUGACGUCAAGUCAUCAUGCCCCUUAUGUCCAGGGCUUCACGCAUGCUACAAUGGCUGGUACAGAGAGUGGCGAGCCUGUGAGGGUGAGCGAAUCUCGGAAAGCCGGUCUCAGUUCGGAUUGGGGUCUGCAACUCGACCUCAUGAAGUCGGAGUCGCUAGUAAUCGCAGAUCAGCAACGCUGCGGUGAAUACGUUCCCGGGGCU